This 623-nucleotide ribosomal RNA is filed under the name uncultured Bacteroidales bacterium. RNAcentral describes it as "bacterial SSU rRNA". It matches the Rfam family "Bacterial small subunit ribosomal RNA", at positions 50 to 660 of the family's 1533-position model. The record is from RNAcentral. Lineage: Bacteria; Pseudomonadati; Bacteroidota; Bacteroidia; Bacteroidales.
AACACAUGCAAGUCGAGGGGAAACGACGGGGAAGCUUGCUUCCCCCGGGCGUCGACCGGCGCACGGGUGAGUAACGCGUAUCCAACCUGCCUCUGACUGAGGGAUAACCCGUCGAAAGUCGGCCUAAUACCUCAUGGCAUCGUCUGCGGGCAUCCAACGACGAUUAAAGAUUUCAUCGGUCAGAGAUGGGGAUGCGUCUGAUUAGCUAGUUGGCGGGGUAACGGCCCACCAAGGCGACGAUCAGUAGGGGUUCUGAGAGGAAGGUCCCCCACAUUGGAACUGAGACACGGUCCAAACUCCUACGGGAGGCAGCAGUGAGGAAUAUUGGUCAAUGGGCGAGAGCCUGAACCAGCCAAGUAGCGUGCAGGAUGACGGCCCUAUGGGUUGUAAACUGCUUUUAUGCGGGGAUAAAGUGAGGGACGUGUCCUUCAUUGCAGGUACCGCAUGAAUAAGGACCGGCUAAUUCCGUGCCAGCAGCCGCGGUAAUACGGAAGGUCCGGGCGUUAUCCGGAUUUAUUGGGUUUAAAGGGAGCGUAGGCCGCGGAUUAAGCGUGUUGUGAAAUGCAGGUGCUCAACGUCUGCACUGCAGCGCGAACUGGUCCACUUGAGUGUGCGCAACGCAG